CUGGAACAUAGUAUAACAAGAUUUGUCAAUCAAGCAAUUCCUACCAAAGAAUAAAAGAAAAAAAAAAUUGGGGCAAAAUGCAAAUUUUCAAUUUAAGGAACACUCACAUGAUACGUUGGGAAUUCCAGAGGAUGGAAUAGGUGUGGAAAUCUGCAGUUGGGUCAAACCAGAGAUAGAACUGUUGCUCUCUGUUUCCCUUUCCUUGACUGAACACAUUGGUAUGAAGAAUGUAAGGAUCCCCACUAAGGUUCCCCAGAAACUCAAAAUCAAUCUCAUCCCAUGUUGAUCCUUUGGAAGAUAGCUGCAGAUAGAAAUAUACAUCAGCAUUUGUGCCAUCAACAUCUACACGUCCUCGUAAAAAUUGCGGACACCAAGAAUUAAUUAGAGAAUAACUUACAUAGUAGGCAGUGACUGUGCCAGCAGAGUUGCCAUGGACAAGCUUGAGCUGCAUAUCAAUCUCGCCAAAAAGAUAUUCAUCCUUGGACUGGAAACCGGAGCCAGAAGCUUUGUCAAGGGAGAGAGUGAGAACCUCUCCGUUGUUGUCUAUCUUACCACGGCCAUCUCCCCAUGUGAUGUCAAAAUCUUGGUAGAAGUUGCUAGCAGAUGCCGCCAUGAGACAGCCCAUUACGAGAGACAUAAGCAAUAUAUAAUUGAAACUUGAAGUUGAACCCUUUUUUUUUUCUGGUUUGCCUGAGCAGAGAGAAUAUGUUGGAAUUUGAGACGUUAAUAGCUUGAUACUUUGGUGUGUUUGAGAAGAAGGAUAGAGCUUGGUAUUUAUAGUAAAGAAAAAGGUAGAGGAAAAGGCCGCGAAGCUCCGUUCAGCUUGGUUGUGCACAGUUGUAGAGUAGGAAACAUAUUAUAGAAGUAGCUGUCAAGAUUGCACCAACGAACAGGACCCAACCAAAACACAGUUUAUGAUAUCACGCGGUUUACCUCUAUUUGUUUGUUUCAUUUUUGUGUGUGUAAGAGGAAAGUGCAGUCCUUUCGGCUUAUUGGUGCUCAGUUCCUGUCGCCUUGUUAGGCUUUUGGCACUAUUAGCUCCGGCUCACUUCCAGAACCAUGCACACGCAGCAGCACCGCCUUUACUAACCGAACAAUCCAAAAUAUUAAAGGAUUAAAUAUGUAAAAAUCAUUUUUUCCCCAAAAAAAGGGAAAACUUAAAGAAAACCAAAUAAGAAAUCAUGUCAGCACUCAGUUGACUCCAUAAUAGUUCUAUUUUACCCUUAGUAAUAUUAAACAUUUAAUUUUGAUUUAAGAACUCGGAGACAAUCGACUAAGAAAUAAAUGAUAUGUGAGUCAUAACUAUUUAUUGCGUACAUAGCUGGUGGGAAUGCUUAUCUUUAUCACGUUAUUUAAUUUGUCUUCUUGAUUUUGAUUUUCUUUGGACGACUUCUUCUUAUUCUCUUGAACCUCUUCAACAUUCUUUUAUUUUUUGCUUGACUCAAUGUUGUUUCUGUAUUAAAAAAAAAUACCAAAUUUCUUGUCUUGUUCUCUGUUUUUUUAUUCAGUUUUCAUGACAUCAAGCAGUACCUUUCUUUCUUCCUCUUUUUUUCAAUUUUCAUGACAUCAAGCAGCACCUUUCUUUCUUUCUCUUUUCCAAACAUCACUAAUCUUGUCUCUGUAAAAUUAGAUUCUCAUGAUUACUUUUUUUUUAAUUAAGAAAAAAAAUUUAAAUCUUACUCUUUAAACAAAAAAAUAUAAACCAAUCAAUAAGUAAAACACUCAAAUGUGAAUUUUGUAACCAAUAAAAUUUGAAAAAUUGAUUGUUGGUCUAGAGAAGGCAUUCGACCAUUUUAAUGCCCAUCUUGUUGCAAGUCCAUGCUGUUAAGCUCGGCAAAUUUUCAUGAUUGCUUAUAUGUGAAAAAGCUCCUAUUUGUAUGUCGCACAUUCAAGUUAAAUGUGCUUACAAGAGGAUAUGAUUAAAGCUAUAUAAAAUAGAAGAUAAAAUAUCUGACAGACCAAUACAAGACAUGAAAUAAAUCACUAAGAAUGCAAUUGACACUACCACAUUGAAUAUGUCGAUGAUAAAUUAAUGUGGGAAGAGUGUGCGAUGGGAUGGCCCUUGCCCCUCCACCUUUGGCCCUGCCUUAAUAGUAACGCAGCGUGGAUGUACAUUUUGUUUCAAGAAUUAUUGAAUGAUAAAAACUUCUACCAAAAUUAAUCAAAAUUUGUUAUGAUUAAAUAUUAAAAUUUUUUAAGAAAAUCACUAGGGUUAUCCUUCUCAUAAAUGUAAACAUAACUAAUGGAAUAUUUAUUUUUAUCACGUUAUGUUCAUUUGUCUUCCUCACUUUGGUUUUCUUUUCCAAGUCCUUGUUUUCUUUGAAGUGUAAAAUCUGUGUCCCUGUUUUCUGAAGUCCUUGUUCUCUGUCCCAUAUAAAAAUAUUUAAAAUCUCUAAAUAUUGGUAUUUACUUCUUCGUCUCGAUUUGAUACAUAUACCCUCUAAAUGAAACUGAUCCAAGUCCAUCAAUUUGGGGAGAGAAGUAAACUCUUGUUGUUGCAUAUCAUAUGAUAACGUAUUACAUACAAAAUAGGGAGAAUUCUCAAAGAACAAAAGAAUCAUGAGUUGGCCUGAAGAAAAAGAAUUGAAAGAAUAUUCAUCUAAUUAACAGCCGUUAAUGUUGCCUCUAAGACAUGUUGCAUUCUGGAGGUAGACCUUGGGGAAAUCUCUUGGCGUCUGUGCAGUAGUUGUAGAUCAUGUAGUUCUUCUGGACCCAUUGUAGCCUUUGCUGACUAGAGGAAUCCAGCUCCUGAGAGAACCACGCAUUGUUGGUUGAGGCAGAAGAUGGAGAAUUUGAUUUGCAGGAAGAUGCUCCAUUAGACCAAACACAGGCAUUGGCAUUGAAGUUUCUGUAAGAAGCAGUGAAUGGAGCUUGAGUCCAAUCUGUCUUUACCAGACCACCCCUUGUAGCCCAAUCAUCGGCAUUCCACAAGCUGGAGUAAAUUCUCAUCGGUUGGUUCUUUGGAAAUGGGACACCAAGUGACUCCAUGUUUUUGAACUCUCUAAUGGGUGUGCCGUCCGCAGAGAAGCUGGAACACAGCAUAACAAGAUUUUGUCAAUCAAGCAAUUCCUACCAAAGGAAUAAAAGAAAAAAAACUGGGGCAAAAUGCAAAUUUUCAAUUUAAUGAAUACUCACAUGAUACGUUGGGAAUUCCAGAGGAUGGAAUAGGUGUGGAAAUCUGCAGUUGGGUCAAACCAGAGAUAGAACUGUUGCUCUCUGUUUCCCUUUCCUUGACUGAACACAUUGGUAUGAAGAAUGUAAGGAUCCCCACUAAGGUUCCCCAGAAACUCAAAAUCAAUCUCAUCCCAUGUUGAUCCUUUGGAAGAUAGCUGCAGAUAGAAAUAUACAUCAGCAUUUGCGCCAUCAACUUCUACACGUCCUCGUAAAAAUUGCGGACAACAAGAAUUAAUUACAGAAUAACUUACAU
Molecule: long non-coding RNA, 3427 nt
Filed under: Theobroma cacao (cacao)
Lineage: Eukaryota; Viridiplantae; Streptophyta; Magnoliopsida; Malvales; Malvaceae
Description: long non-coding RNA (TCAC_LNC005235)
Source: RNAcentral